GCUGGGUGUGGUGAUGCAUGCCUGUAGUCCCAGAUACUCAGGAGGCUGAGGCAGGAGGAUCACUUGAGCCCAGGGGGUGGAGGCUACAGUGAGCUGUGAUUGCACCACUACCCUCCAGCUUGGGCAACAGAGUGAGACCCUGUCUCAA
This 148-nucleotide non-coding RNA is filed under the name Pan paniscus (pygmy chimpanzee). Lineage: Eukaryota; Metazoa; Chordata; Mammalia; Primates; Hominidae. The record is from Rfam by way of RNAcentral. RNAcentral also lists the same sequence under 1 other name.